AAUCAAACAAAAAUAUAUUUAUAUGACCAAUAUAGCAUAUUCAACACAUAUUACCAAUAGUCAUGAACACAUAUAUCCAAUACAUGUUACCAAUAGUAGCAAGUUUUAACCGUACAUAUACAUAGUUUCAUCAAUAUUACACAGUUUCAUCCAUAGGUAGCAAGUUUCACAAGGUCAAAACAAAAACUAAAUACAAGCACUCCAUCAACCCAAGCUUCCGUGAUCUUAAGCAAAUCUGUAAAAUGAGAAAGAAGAAAGUUAGAAGAAGACUAGAAGAAGAAGAUUAUUAUGAUGCAACUAAAAUGUGAAGAUUAUUAUGAUGCAACUUAUAUCUGUAAAAUAAAAUUGAAAGACAACUUAUCAACUAUUUGGACAUCGUUCUCUGAUAAAUUUCCCAAAACAGUAAGUAGACUAAGAAUAAAACAGAACAUAUAAGAAAGAACUCACACAGGAGUACAUACAUUUUGACAAUGGCAUACAUAUUUGUAAGAGUCAAGAAAAAUCCCAAAAGGGUGGCACAAUGCCCUUUGCAUCACCGCAAAGGGAUCAUACAAAAUGAGCCUCCCUGGUGGCUAGAACCACAACAGAUAAUGUGUACGUAGCCGAGGAGAACAAAUCCUCCAAUCCCUUAGAAAUCCAAGAAUACAUGUGGGCCUCCCAAGAAAAGGGGAUUGGUUAUUUCUUUCUCAGCGUGAACUUCAAAAUGCAUUGAUCCCACUGAAUUCAUUGGUCAGUAUACUAAAUAUAAAAUCCUUAUUUUCCAAACAAGAUCCUGGAGAAAAAAUGAUUUGCUAAAUGAAAACAACACUUGACUGAACAAGGAAAAGAUGUGUGAAGCGGCAUGUGUGCCUUAAUGUUCCAUUGAGAACAGACUGAGCAAAUGCCCAUUGAUCUCCCCUCUGGUCUAUGGAAAAUGAGCACAUGUGCUCCAAUGAGAACAAAAUGACCAAAUACCCAUUGAAAAAGUGCCUUUUCGCACAUGGGAAACUAAUAAAUAGAUAGAUAGACACUAUUUCCCAAAAUUGAGAUUGGCACAGAAAAUAUGAGGUGCAUAAGAAGAGCCACUUGCUGCUGCACAUGACACACAAAUAUGAGAUGCCUAAGAAGAAGCAAGAAGUAGACAGUGAAAAAUAACAAAAAAUAAGCGAAUGAGGAGGGACUUACUGAACAAAAUUGUGCCUUUAGGUACUGACUGCAAGAUCAAAGUAAGAGAACAGAAAGAGAAUCUGAAGACAGACUAAACAAGACUGGAAAAACUAAAGAGAGACUACAUGAGAAGAAAUGAAGAUUGAAACUAGAAACCAAGACUAAGAAAGAGAGAAUGAACAAAAGGAAGGGAAAAUAAAGAAGAGAAAACGGAUGAAAAUGAGAACCAGAGAAAACAUAAAAAAUAAUGAGAUCCUUAGGGAAUUGGAAAAACUGAAAAACUGAAAGAAUGAGGAACUACAAACUGAUAAAACACUAAUCAAAUACUAAUGACAAAGACCUAUGAGGAAUGGGACUGAAAAGGUAUGCAAAUCAUGCCACUCCCUAUUUAAAAAACCUGACUGAAAACUGAUACAAAAUUGAAAACAUGGAGACUGAUACUAAGAACGAAACCCACAUGCUCAUAGACUGACUGAAAAUUGAAUGAAAUAAAUUAAACAGAAAAUGAACUAUAUAAGAAACUGAAUUAGAGACUAAAAACUGAGUAAUGAUUUUCUCAAUAAUGACAAAUUGAGCAAUGAUGGAAUGAAUGGUCAGAGACCGAGGGACUAAACUCUAGACUCACGCUUGGACUGACUAAAAAUUAGUUAUCUAACAUAAAAAGAAUGAUCAAUAUCAAGAUAAUGAUAACAAAUACUGAAGUAACAAACUGAGUAAUGAUUUUUUUUCAAUGAUUAAAAACUGAAAGUUAUCUAACGUCAUUCAUAAAAGAAAGCUAUUGAGAAAUAGUAAACAAACGAAGAAUGAUGCAAGCUUAAGAACUGAGGACAAACGAUCACUGACUCAAUCAAAGACAUGUGAAAAAAUGAUGAGAAAAUAACUAAUGAGAAGACAUGAAAAAGGGUGAAAUAUUAAUAGAAACUGAAGACUAGCAGACCGACAAACUGAAGAAUGGGAUACUGAACCGACUAACUGAAGAAAAUUAAGUUGAAUGAUAGAAAAAACCGAAUGAGAAAAAUGACAGUGAUUGAAUAAUUCAAAAGAAGAAAAAUAUAACUAAAGAAAUAAAACUAACUUGAAAUUGACUAAAGGAAAAUAUAAUGAAUGACAAAUUCUAAAUGAAAUUAAACUGAAAACUGAGCAAAAAGCAGAUCAAAAGCAACAAAAAGAAACUGAAUACUGGAUUUCAACAGUGCUAUCCCUCUCCACGGCCCCCAAAUCAGCUUGUGCUUGCAAAAAAGCAUUUCACAGUCAAUAUGCCCAGCCCAUGCCACCAACCAGAUGGAGU
This 2434-nucleotide long non-coding RNA is filed under the name Triticum aestivum (bread wheat). RNAcentral's name for it is "long non-coding RNA (TAES_LNC016111)". Lineage: Eukaryota; Viridiplantae; Streptophyta; Magnoliopsida; Poales; Poaceae. The record is from RNAcentral.